CCUGGCUCAGGAUGAACGCUGGCGGCGUGCUUAAUACAUGCAAGUCGAACGAAGCACCUGCGACGGAUCCCUUCGGGGUGAAGAUGCUUGUGACUGAGUGGCGGACGGGUGAGUAACGCGUGGGUAACCUGCCUUAUGCAGGGGGACAACAGUUAGAAAUGACUGCUAAUACCGCAUAAGCGCACGAGACCGCAUGGUCAAGUGUGAAAAGAUUUAUCGGCAUAAGAUGGACCCGCGUCUGAUUAGGUAGUUGGUGAGGUAACGGCCCACCAAGCCGACGAUCAGUAGCCGACUUGAGAGAGUGAUCGGCCACAUUGGGACUGAGACACGGCCCAGACUCCUACGGGAGGCAGCAGUAGGGAAUAUUGCACAAUGGGGGAAACCCUGAUGCAAGCGACGCCGCGUGAGUGAUUGAAGUAUUUCGGUACGUAAAGCUCUAUCAGCAGGGAAGAUAAUGACGGUACCUGACUAAGAAGCCCCGGCUAACUACGUGCCAGCCGCGGC
Molecule: ribosomal RNA, 504 nt
Filed under: uncultured bacterium
Lineage: Bacteria
Description: bacterial SSU rRNA
Rfam family: Bacterial small subunit ribosomal RNA
Source: RNAcentral